UAACGCGUGGGCAACCUGCCUUAUACAGGGGGAUAACAGCUGGAAACAGCUGCUAAUACCGCAUAAGCGCACAGCGGCGCAUGACGCAGUGUGAAAAACUGAGGUGGUAUAAGAUGGGCCCGCGUCUGAUUAGCUGGUUGGGAGGGUAACGGCCUACCAAGGCGACGAUCAGUAGCCGGCCUGAGAGGGCGGACGGCCACAUUGGGACUGAGACACGGCCCAGACUCCUACGGAAGGCAGCAG
RNAcentral lists this ribosomal RNA (243 nucleotides) under uncultured bacterium. RNAcentral describes it as "partial 16S ribosomal RNA". It matches the Rfam family "Bacterial small subunit ribosomal RNA", at positions 111 to 354 of the family's 1533-position model. The record is from RNAcentral.